AUGUACUCGUCACAAUCGGUGAGUCGCAUCAACAACAUUCGCACCUCUCUCAUCAAUGCGCAGAAGGGCAACCUCUCCGUCGCCUCCUACUUCGCCACCAUGCGUGGCUACGCCGAUGAGCUGGCCGCGGCGGGCAAGGCGAUCCUCGACGACGAGCUCAUCUCCUACAUCAUCCACGGGCUCGAUGCUGACUACCAGCCUCUGAUCUCUGCUCUGGAUGCUCGCGUCACUCCCGUCACCAUCGACGAGCUCUUCGCCAUGCUGUCAAACUUUGAUCAGCGGAUGGUGCACUUCCAUGGCUCCAGCGGCAGCGGCUUCAAGUCCUCGGCGAACUCGGCCUCUCGUGGCCGGGGUGGAUCCUCUCGGCGCGGCGGCUUCUCCCGUGGGAGGGGGAGGUCCAGUGGAGGAGGCAAUGGCGGCGGCUCCAACUCUCGCAAUGGCGGGCGUGCUCCUGCCAACAACAGAACUCGCCGCGGUGGUGGCAACCCUCGCGCCCGACCUGAUGCUCCUCGUUGCCAGAUAUGUGGCAAGUUGGGCACACAACAAAAGAUUGCUGGUACCGCUACGAAGAGGAAGAAGAUUCCUCUCAAGAUGAUGACAAGGUGGUGGCGGCUGCAGAUGGCUCCUACGGCGUCGACACCAACUGGUACGUCGACAGCGGCGCCACCAACCACAUCACCAACGAGCUCGAGAAGGUGA
This 699-nucleotide ribosomal RNA is filed under the name Triticum aestivum (bread wheat). Its description in RNAcentral is "partial small subunit ribosomal RNA". The record is from RNAcentral. Lineage: Eukaryota; Viridiplantae; Streptophyta; Magnoliopsida; Poales; Poaceae.